RNAcentral lists this ribosomal RNA (468 nucleotides) under uncultured bacterium. RNAcentral's name for it is "partial 16S ribosomal RNA". It matches the Rfam family "Bacterial small subunit ribosomal RNA", at positions 28 to 507 of the family's 1533-position model. The record is from RNAcentral.
GACGAACGCUGGCGGCGUGCUUAACACAUGCAAGUCGAACGGAAAGGCCCUGCUUUUGUGGGGUUCUCGAGUGGCGAACGUGUGAGUAACACGUGAGUAACCUGCCCUUGACUUUGGGAUAACUUCAGGAAACUGGGGCUAAUACCGGAUAGGAGCUCCUGCUGCAUUGUGGUGGUUGGAAAUUUUCGGCGGUUGGGGUUGGACUCGCGGCUUAUCAGCUUGUUGGUGGGGUAGUUGCUUACCAAGGCUUUGACGGGUAGCCGGCCUGAGAGGGUGACCGGCCAAAAUGGGACUGAGAUACGGCCCAGACUGCUACGGGAGGCAGCAGUGGGGAAUAUUGCAAAAUGGGCGGAAGCCUGAUGCAGCAACGCCGCGUGCGGGAUGACGGCCUUCGGGUUGUAAACCGCUUUCGCCUGUGACGAAGCGUGAGUGACGGUAAUGGGUAAAGAAGCACCGGCUAACUACGUG